UACACUCCUGCGGGAGGCAGCAGUGGGGAAUCUUGCGCAAUGGGCGAAAGCCUGACGCAGCCAUGCCGCGUGAAUGAUGAAGGUCUUAGGAUUGUAAAAUUCUUUCACCGGGGACGAUAAUGACGGUACCCGGAGAAGAAGCCCCGGCUAACUUCGUGCCAGCAGCCGCGGUAAUACGAAGGGGGCUAGCGUUGCUCGGAAUUACUGGGCGUAAAGGGAGCGUAGGCGGACAUUUAAGUCAGGGGUGAAAUCCCGGGGCUCAACCUCGGAAUUGCCUUUGAUACUGGGUGUCUUGAGUAUGAGAGAGGUGUGUGGAACUCCGGGUGUAGAGGUGAAAUUCGUAGAUAUUCGGAAGAACACCAGUGGCGAAGGCGACACACUGGCUCAUUACUGACGCUGAGGCUCGAAAGCGUGGGGAGCAAACAGGAUUAGAAACCCGUGUAGUCCCAUG
Molecule: ribosomal RNA, 451 nt
Filed under: uncultured organism
Description: partial 16S ribosomal RNA
Rfam family: Bacterial small subunit ribosomal RNA
Source: RNAcentral